This 441-nucleotide ribosomal RNA is filed under the name uncultured bacterium. RNAcentral's name for it is "bacterial SSU rRNA". It matches the Rfam family "Bacterial small subunit ribosomal RNA", at positions 338 to 795 of the family's 1533-position model. The record is from RNAcentral.
CCUACGGGUUGCAGCAGUGGGGAAUAUUGGACAAUGGGCGAAAGCCUGAUCCAGCAAUGCCGCGUGUGUGAAGAAGGUCUUCGGAUUGUGAAGCACUUUCGACGGGGACGAUAAUGACGGUACCCGUAGAAGAGGCCCCGGCUAACUUCGUGCCAGCAGCCGCGGUAAUACGAAGGGGGCUAGCGUUGCUCGGAAUGACUGGGCGUAAAGGGCGCGUAGGCGGUUUAUGCAGUCAGAUGUGAAAUCCCCCGGGCUUAACCUGGGAACUGCAUUUGAGACGCAUAGACUGGAGGUCGAGAGAGGGUUGUGGAAUUCCCAGUGUAGAGGUGAAAUUCGUAGAUAUUGGGAAGAACACCGGUGGCGAAGGCGGCAACCUGGCUCGAUACUGACGCUGAGGCGCGAAAGCGUGGGGAGCAAACAGGAUUAGAUACCCCUGUAGUC